This 253-nucleotide ribosomal RNA is filed under the name uncultured bacterium. RNAcentral's name for it is "partial 16S ribosomal RNA". It matches the Rfam family "Bacterial small subunit ribosomal RNA", at positions 524 to 776 of the family's 1533-position model. The record is from RNAcentral.
UACGAAGGGGGCUAGCGUUGCUCGGAAUCACUGGGCGUAAAGCGCACGUAGGCGGCUUUUUAAGUCAGGGGUGAAAUCCUGGAGCUCAACUCCAGAACUGCCUUUGAUACUGAGAAGCUUGAGUCCGGGAGAGGUGAGUGGAACUGCGAGUGUAGAGGUGAAAUUCGUAGAUAUUCGCAAGAACACCCGUGGCGAAGGCGGCUCUCUGGUACGUGACUGACGCUGAGACGCGAAAGCGUGGGGAGCGAACAGG